GAUGAACGCUGGCGGCGUGCCUAAUACAUGCAAGUCGAGCGAACGGACGAGAAGCUUGCUUCUCUGAUGUUAGCGGCGGACGGGUGAGUAACACGUGGAUAACCUACCUAUAAGACUGGGAUAACUUCGGGAAACCGGAGCUAAUACCGGAUAAUAUUUUGAACCGCAUGGUUCAAAAGUGAAAGACGGUCUUGCUGUCACUUAUAGAUGGAUCCGCGCUGCAUUAGAUAGUUGGUAAGGUAACGGCCUACCAAGGCAACGAUGCAUAGCCGACCGGAGAGGGUGAUCGGCCACAUUGGAACUGAGACACGGUCCAGACUCCUACGGGAGGCAGCAGUAGGGAAUCGUCCGCAAGGGGCGAAAGCCUGACGGAGCAACGCCGCGUGAGUGAUGAAGGUCUUCGGAUCGUAAAACUCUGUUAUUAGGGAAGAACAUAUGUGUAAGUAACUGUGCACAGCUUGACGGUACCUAAUCAGAAAGCCACGGCUAACUACGUG
Molecule: ribosomal RNA, 497 nt
Filed under: uncultured bacterium
Lineage: Bacteria
Description: partial 16S ribosomal RNA
Rfam family: Bacterial small subunit ribosomal RNA
Source: RNAcentral